GCGGGGAUAGCUCAGCUGGGAGAGCGUCAGGUAAGGAAUCUGAAGGCCGUGCGUUCGAUCCGCACUCACCGCA
Xylaria intraflava is the source of this 73-nucleotide non-coding RNA. Lineage: Eukaryota; Fungi; Ascomycota; Sordariomycetes; Xylariales; Xylariaceae. The record is from the annotation of a GenBank genome assembly.